GGGCGAUUAGCUCAGUUGGUUCAGAGCGCCUGCCUUACAAGCAGGAGGCCAAUGGUUCGAAUCCAUUAUCGCCCACUA
This 78-nucleotide transfer RNA is filed under the name Bacteroidales bacterium. Its description in RNAcentral is "tRNA-Val". It matches the Rfam family "tRNA". Rfam says of the family: Transfer RNA (tRNA) molecules are approximately 80 nucleotides in length. Lineage: Bacteria; Pseudomonadati; Bacteroidota; Bacteroidia; Bacteroidales. The record is from RNAcentral.